UACGGGGGGGGCAAGCGUUGUUCGGAAUUACUGGGCGUAAAGGGCUCGUAGGCGGCCAACUAAGUCAGACGUGAAAUCCCCAGGCUCAACCUGGGAACUGCGUCUGAUACUGGAUGGCUUGAAUCCGGGAGAGGGAUGCGGAAUUCCAGGUGUAGCGGUGAAAUGCGUAGAUAUCUGGAGGAACACCGGUGGCGAAGGCGGCAUCCUGGACCGGCAUUGACGCUGAGGAGCGAAAGCCAGGGGAGCAAACGGG
RNAcentral lists this ribosomal RNA (253 nucleotides) under uncultured bacterium. RNAcentral describes it as "partial 16S ribosomal RNA". It matches the Rfam family "Bacterial small subunit ribosomal RNA", at positions 524 to 776 of the family's 1533-position model. The record is from RNAcentral.